AGGAUAAUAGUUUACUUAAAACAUUUAAUUUGCAUUUAAAAAAAAUAAAUACUUUAUUUAUCUUA
This 65-nucleotide transfer RNA is filed under the name Scolytinae sp. BMNH 1274713. RNAcentral describes it as "tRNA-Ala". Lineage: Eukaryota; Metazoa; Arthropoda; Insecta; Coleoptera; Curculionidae. The record is from RNAcentral.